AUUGAACGCUGGCGGAAUGCUUUACACAUGCAAGUCGAACGGCGGCACGAGGGCAACCUUGGUGGCGAGUGGCGAACGGGUGAGUAAUACAUCGGAACGUGCCCAGUCGUGGGAGAUAACGUAGCGAAAGCUACGCUAAUACCGCAUACGAUCUAUGGAUGAAAGCGGGGGACCGUAAGGCCUCGCGCGAUUGGAGCGGCCGAUGGCAGAUUAGGUAGUUGGUGGGGUAAAGGCUCACCAAGCCUGCGAUCUGUAGCUGGUCUGAGAGGACGACCAGCCACACUGGAACUGAGACACGGUCCAGACUCCUACGGGAGGCAGCAGUGGGGAAUUUUGGACAAUGGGCGCAAGCCUGAUCCAGCCAUUCCGCGUGCAGGAUGAAGGCCUCGUGU
This 392-nucleotide ribosomal RNA is filed under the name uncultured bacterium. RNAcentral describes it as "bacterial SSU rRNA". It matches the Rfam family "Bacterial small subunit ribosomal RNA", at positions 30 to 422 of the family's 1533-position model. The record is from RNAcentral.